AUAUCAAUAAGCGGAGGAAAAGAAACCAACAGGGAUUGCCUCAGUAACGGCGAGUGAAGCGGCAACAGCUCAAAUUUGAAAUCUGGCCCUUUCAGGGUCCGAGUUGUAAUUUGCAGAGGGUGCUUUGGCGUCGGCCGUGGUCUAAGUUCCUUGGAACAGGACGUCACAGAGGGUGAGAAUCCCGUACGUGGCCGCCGGUCUUCGCCGUGUAAAGCCCCUUCGACGAGUCGAGUUGUUUGGGAAUGCAGCUCUAAAUGGGAGAUAAAUUUCUUCUAAAGCUAAAUAUUGGCCAGAGACCGAUAGCGCACAAGUAGAGUGAUCGAAAGAUGAAAAGCACUUUGGAAAGAGAGUCAAAAAGCACGUGAAAUUGUUGAAAGGGAAGCGCUUGCAGCCAGACGUGCCCGCAGUUGCUCACCCGGGCUCUCGCCCGGGGCACUCUUCUGCGGGCAGGCCAGCAUCAGUUCGGGCGGUUGGAUAAAGGCCUCUAUCACGUAUCUUCCUUCGGGAUGACCUUAUAGGGGAGGCGCAACACGGCCAGCCCGAACUGAGGACCGCGCAUUCGCUAGGAUGCUGGCGUAAUGGCUGUAAGCGGCCCGUCUUGAAACACGGACCAAGGAGUCUAACAUCUAUGCGAGUGUUUGGGUGUCAAGCCCGGACGCGCAAUGAAAGUGAACGGAGGUGGGAACCCCUCGGGGUGCACCAUCGACCGAUCCUGAAGUCUUCGGAUGGAUUUGAGUAAGAGCAUAGCUGUUGGGACCCGAAAGAUGGUGAACUAUGCCUGAAUAGGGUGAAGCCAGGGGAAACCCUGGUGGAGGCUCGCAGCGGUUCUGACGUGCAAAUCGAUCGUCAAAUUUGGGCAUAGGGCGAAAGACUAAU
Molecule: ribosomal RNA, 876 nt
Filed under: Roussoella guttulata
Lineage: Eukaryota; Fungi; Ascomycota; Dothideomycetes; Pleosporales; Thyridariaceae
Description: partial large subunit ribosomal RNA
Rfam family: Eukaryotic large subunit ribosomal RNA
Source: RNAcentral